Molecule: non-coding RNA, 94 nt
Filed under: Chishuiella changwenlii
Lineage: Bacteria; Pseudomonadati; Bacteroidota; Flavobacteriia; Flavobacteriales; Weeksellaceae
Description: SAM-I-IV sequence
Rfam family: SAM-I/IV (S-adenosyl methionine) riboswitch aptamer
About the family: It is found upstream of a number of genes which code for proteins involved in methionine or cysteine biosynthesis. It has been found mostly in the order Actinomycetales.
Source: RNAcentral
GCUAAGUAUUUCGAACCGAAUAACGGUACCAACCGAGAGUAGUCUCCACGGUGGUGAAAAUGAUACGGGAAUUGAUCCAAAAAUAACGUACACU